GAACCGUGCAAACGUUGUUCGGAUUCACUGGGCUUAAAGGGCGCGUAGGCGGGCGACCAAGUCAGGGGUGAAAUCUUUCAGCUUAACUGGAAAACAGCCUCUGAUACUGGCCGUCUGGAGGGAGGUAGGGGCCUGUGGAACUGCUGGUGGAGCGGUGAAAUGCGUAGAUAUCAGCAGGAACGCCGGUGGCGAAAGCGACGGGCUGGACCUCAUCUGACGCUGAGGCGCGAAAGCUAGGGGAGCAAACGGGAUUAGAUACCCCGGUAGUCCUAGCCCUAAACGAUGGGUACUAGAUUGUAGACUUAACAUGGGUUUACAGUCGAAGCAAAAGUGUUAAGUACCCCGCCUGGGGAGUAUGGUCGCAAGGCUGAA
RNAcentral lists this ribosomal RNA (372 nucleotides) under uncultured bacterium. RNAcentral describes it as "bacterial SSU rRNA". It matches the Rfam family "Bacterial small subunit ribosomal RNA", at positions 527 to 898 of the family's 1533-position model. The record is from RNAcentral.